This is a long non-coding RNA of Zophobas morio, 1307 nucleotides long. RefSeq lists it as uncharacterized. The transcript is spliced from 4 exons. The record is from RefSeq and is a predicted model, not a curated record. Lineage: Eukaryota; Metazoa; Arthropoda; Insecta; Coleoptera; Tenebrionidae.
AGAAGUGCUAAUAUUUUUAUUAGUAACAAACUGCUAAAUUAGUCUGGAGACAAGAUCCACGACAGUGGGGAGCGGCAAAGGAGGGCGACUCCAGAGUUUUAAUUUUUUCCAAUUGUUCUUGAGAUGCAGUCAUAAUUUUACAGACGUCAGCAAUUCUAAACAUUUAUGUGUAUCUAGUUAGAUGCCCGAAGUGCAGAAUACAGUAGAAGAGACGAAUACUCUGGCAAGUACCGCUCGGGAUACGGAGAAAAAUUUGAGAAAAUCUAAAGAUAACAAAGACAAGAAAGAAGAAUGGACACAAGAAUCUUUGACAUCCGUUAGGAUUAAAGUAAUUCGUAAGAACGACUCUGCGCAGCAGCUCUAUAGCAAAAGAUUUGUCACUCGUUGUUGUUCACACGAGACACUGGCUACCUAGUGAAAUGCUGCCUGCGACUUUAAUCCAAACAGUCUCAAAAAGCUACAGAGUCGAAAAAUUUUAGGAGAAACCUGGAAUUGCUCUAAUACAUAAUAAACCGCCGCUGGUAAAAUACUCCUCGUUGAGAGUAACUGCUGGCCUAAGACGGAGAAGGGGCCACUGAGCGACUCAGAAAGCACCGGAAGGGCCAAUCCCUGCGGCCCCACUAACACCCAUCUAGUGGGUCACAUGUGUAUUGGUCAGGCGCAACCACGGAGGAGCGCACGCCCGACCUUUGUCUCGAGUAGCCCUCGAGGUCUUGGCAGAACGUUUCCACGACGCCGUCUACCACCAGCUGAGCGCCUCUUUCCUCCAAUUCCUCGAAUCUUCAGUGAAGAAAGUUGUUGAAAAGUAAAAAAAAGAUCUAUUAAUGAAAGUCUUGUUGACUUCUCCACCACGCCUUCAAAAACAGAGCCGGCGCCAGAGGGAGGCGGGCGAGGGGCCAAUGUCUUCAACGCCUCGUGCAGGUCUAUGUACACCUGGCAGAGAACGACCAAUAAUAGCAAGCAGCCUGAAAGUUCUAAUGGCUUACCAGAUCGUUCGACCAAUCCCAGAUGGCCCGACGAAUGAAGGUCAAGCUGCCUUAUUAUACGGCAACCAGUAAGAAGCUUGUAAUGCGACCAGUUGCGAUAAUCAGACUUAUCAGCUUGCAGAACGUCUCAAACUCUUGAAUUUGAGAAAAACGGGCGCCGUUAUCCUUCGCCACACCAAAAAGAAUUUGCUCGGCAUCCGUCAAGAAGCGAUCUAAAAUUCUAUUGGUGAUAAAAAAUGGGCACCCUAAAAAGAAAGAAAUGGAAAAUGUCGAAGUUUGAGAACCAGAAAUAGACUUUAGCAAACUUAAGAAAGUCGACGC